GACGAACGCUGGCGGCGUGCUUAACACAUGCAAGUCGAACGGAAAGGCCCUGCUUGCUGGGUCCUCGAGUGGCGAACGGGCGAGUAACACGUGGGUGAUCCGCCCUCCACUUCUGGAUAGGCCUGGGCGACUGGGACCAAUCCCGGAUAGGAGACACUUUUAGUGUGUUGGUUCGAAAGAUUUUUGGGUGUUGGGUGAGCUAGCGGCCUAUUAGCUUGUUGGUGGGGUAAUGGCCUACCAGCGCGGCGAGGGGUCGCGGGACAGAGAGGGUGGACGGCCGCCCUGAGACUUAGGGGAGGCCGAGGCUGGGACGGGUGGCAGAUGGGGGGAAGAUUGCACAAGGGGCGCAGGGUGGAUGCAGCGACGCUGCGGGUGGGAUAGCGGUCUUGGGGUGGUAGACUCCUUUCGGGUGGGACGAAGCUUGUUGUGACGGUACCUAGAGAAGAAGCACCGGCUAACUACGUG
Molecule: ribosomal RNA, 465 nt
Filed under: uncultured bacterium
Lineage: Bacteria
Description: partial 16S ribosomal RNA
Rfam family: Bacterial small subunit ribosomal RNA
Source: RNAcentral